RNAcentral lists this ribosomal RNA (467 nucleotides) under uncultured bacterium. Its description in RNAcentral is "partial 16S ribosomal RNA". It matches the Rfam family "Bacterial small subunit ribosomal RNA", at positions 28 to 507 of the family's 1533-position model. The record is from RNAcentral.
GACGAACGCUGGCGGCGUGCUAACCCCUGCAAGUCGAACGGAAAGGCCCUGCUUUUGUGGGGUGCUCGAGUGGCGAACGGGUGAGUAACACGUGAGUAACCUGCCCUUGACUUUGGGAUAACUUCAGGAAACUGGGGCUAAUACCGGAUAGGAGCUCCUGCCGCAUGGUGGGGGUUGGAAAGUUUCGGCGGUUGGGGAUGGACUCGCGGCUUAUCAGCUUGUUGGUGGGGUAGUGGCUUACCAAGGCUUUGACGGGUAGCCGGCCUGAGAGGGUGACCGGCCACAUUGGGACUGAGAUACGGCCCAGACUCCUACGGGAGGCAGCAGUGGGGAAUAUUGCACAAUGGGCGGAAGCCUGAUGCAGCAACGCCGCGUGCGGGAUGACGGCCUUCGGGUUGUAAACCGCUUUCGCCUGUGACGAAGCGUGAGUGACGGUAAUGGGUAAAGAAGCACCGGCUAACUACGUG